UUUGAUCCUGGCUCAGAUUGAACGCUGGCGGCAUGCCUUACACAUGCAAGUCGAACGGUAACAGGUCUUCGGAUGCUGACGAGUGGCGAACGGGUGAGUAAUACAUCGGAACGUGCCCGAUCGUGGGGGAUAACGGAGCGAAAGCCUUGCUAAUACCGCAUACGAUCUACGGAUGAAAGCGGGGGAUCUUCGGACCUCGCGCGGACGGAGCGGCCGAUGGCAGAUUAGGUAGUUGGUGGGAUAAAAGCUUACCAAGCCGACGAUCUGUAGCUGGUCUGAGAGGAUGAUCAGCCACACUGGGACUGAGACACGGCCCAGACUCCUACGGGAGGCAGCAGUGGGGAAUUUUGGACAAUGGGCGCAAGCCUGAUCCAGCCAUGCCGCGUGCAGGAUGAAGGCCUUCGGGUUGUAAACUGCUUUUGUACGGAACGAAAAGGUGCCUUCUAAUAAAGGGCGCUCAUGACGGUACCGUAAGAAUAAGCACCGGCUAACUACGUGCCAGCAGCCGCGGUAAUACGUAGGGUGCAAGCGUUAAUCGGAAUUACUGGGCGUAAAGCGUGCGCAGGCGGUUUUGUAAGACAGAGGUGAAAUCCCCGGGCUCAACCUGGGAACUGCCUUUGUGACUGCAAGGCUGGAGUGCGGCAGAGGGGGAUGGAAUUCCGCGUGUAGCAGUGAAAUGCGUAGAUAUGCGGAGGAACACCGAUGGCGAAGGCAAUCCCCUGGGCCUGCACUACGCUCU
RNAcentral lists this ribosomal RNA (739 nucleotides) under uncultured bacterium. RNAcentral's name for it is "bacterial SSU rRNA". It matches the Rfam family "Bacterial small subunit ribosomal RNA", at positions 12 to 749 of the family's 1533-position model. The record is from RNAcentral.